UGUUCAUCUUCUUUCGGUUUCUUUUCCUUAUCUUUACUACGGGAUGGAAUUUACAACAGCAUUUCUCAAACCAUCUGUGAUGAGGACUGCAUGGUGUUGCCUCAAGAGUGAAUUCUGUCCUAAAGAGGAUUCAGGUUAGGGAGAGUCUGAGAAGACACCAUCAUCUCUGGGACACAAUGGGCACAACGAGCAAGUGCAUUUCCAACAAAGCCCAUUUUGAAG
Molecule: non-coding RNA, 222 nt
Organism: Manis javanica (Malayan pangolin)
Lineage: Eukaryota; Metazoa; Chordata; Mammalia; Pholidota; Manidae
Source: RefSeq, a predicted model, not a curated record